This 1991-nucleotide long non-coding RNA is filed under the name Durio zibethinus. Its description in RNAcentral is "long non-coding RNA (DZIB_LNC002117)". Lineage: Eukaryota; Viridiplantae; Streptophyta; Magnoliopsida; Malvales; Malvaceae. The record is from RNAcentral.
AAGUUUAAUAUCGACCAUGAAAAAACACAAGCCAACCUAAUAUUUCAUAUGUGAUUAUGCCAUUUUUUUACUGAUUUUCCUUGUUGAUAGGAUAGAGAGAAAACCAAGAGAUGGAAAAGGGAACCAAAGAAACUUGAAACUUUGGCAAUUACUUCUUUGCAAACAAAAUAAACAAAAAGAAGCAUCUGGAGAAAUUACAUCCGAUUUUUUGUGCAAAAAUUAUCGACGACUUAGGAACGGUCAAAUUUGACUGCGAGAGAAGAAAGAGAGAAGGGAAAAGAAAGAAAGAAAAUGAAGGGAGUAGAAAAGUAAGGCCUGGAUAUAAUUAUAGUUUGUUUUGAAAAGUUUUUCAUCUUCAGUUUCAACAGUCAAACAUAUCCAGAAGCUUUUUAAAUAGUUUUAUUCUAAAAUUAAACUUUCAAUUAUUUUUAAGUACAUUAUUGACGUUGCACACGGAAUGCCUCAUGGGAAUUGCAUGUAAAUGAGUUAUAGAUUUGUGAAGGGUAAAAUGAAGUACUUUCAUUUUAUUUUUCUGUAGUUGGGGACGAGGGAAUGGACUGUGGGCUGGGUCCUUAGUUAUCGAUCAUGGAUAUAUACUUUGCUAUGAUAGACACAUAUUGGUAGAUUAGUAGUGGCCCCCAACUUCCCUCGGGGAAUAAAAGGUCUAACCUGGCUGCCCGGAUUUGUCCAACCUUGCUUUCACUGUCUCGCCUGGGUGAAAGGGCGUAGCCUUUUUGUCUUGCGCUAUAAAAGCCGUGAGACCUGAGUUACCCUUCCUCUUUGUCUUCGGAAGUUUACUAUGAUCAGGGCCGGCCUUGUUUGUACUCCUACUACUUCAUGGAAAUAGCAUCUCAAUCACAUUGUUAUUUUGGAUAAUUUCUUUUAUAAAUAAAAAGAAAAAAAUGAAAGUGAACUUUUUUACUAUUUAAUAUAAAAUAAAGAAAAUAAAACAUUAAUUCAAAUGUAAUUGAUUUCAUCUAAAUUUUUGUUCUUCACAAUAGUAAAAUUUUAAAUUUUUUAAAAAAUAUUUUUUAUUUUCCAUCAAAAGCAUAAAAUCUCUAAAAUCUUAAAACAGAAAAAGGUAUUUCACGAAUGAAAAAGAAAAAAAAAAGAAGAGUAAGGGUAAAAUUACUAAAAUCUAAAAACAGAUAAAAUUAUUACUUUAAAAUUUCAAUAUCAAGGUUUUUCAUGUCUAGUCUUUCAGAUAAUCUAUUACUUUGUCAUAUAAAAUUAAUUUAUUUUCUAGUGGUUUUCAUGUUAUUGUUUAGGUUGCCGCUUUUUGCAACUUUUUUUUUUAGUUUCAAGUCUGACGUAGAUAAAUUGGAUGAAGAAAAUUUUAGUUAUUAUAAUUAUUAUGGGUUGAGAGUUACUUCAGGAGAGAAAUUAGAGUUAUAAUUAAUUUUUGGAACAAUGGAAGAAUUUUUCAAUGAUCAAAGAUCAUGAACUUCCGUGAAUUUUGUUGUGUUUUUCUGCUGAUUUUGAUGUUUGCUGCUUAGGUUGAUGUUGUGGGAAGAUUUGUAGCUUGUUUUCAGCUGAAUGGAAAUUUGCAAUUAUAUAUAAAAAAGAAAAAGUGAAAACUUUGUGUACCAAUAAAUGUCGUAAAUUUUUUGGUGAAGUAUCAAAUGGCUCUGGGUUAAUCUGUUUGCAGUGUAUACAUGUUGGGAGGGAUGAAUUAGACGAGGAUCAUAGUUGUAUUCAUAAUAUAAGACAGUCCCUUGUCUUUUAGAACAGGGCAUAUUUGAUGUUUUUGAUCGAAUUCAAGUAUGUUUUUUUUGCAUCUUGAAAACAUGAAAGCAUCCCCAUGGAGGUUUAUUUGGUAUUACCAUAAAAAUAAACGUGUUAAACCAGCUUCACAGUUUGGUAUUUGAGAUGUUUUAUAACACGUAUGAAACUGAUUUGUUGAAAAGGAUAUUGAUUGUAGGUGUUUGUGAUUUGAGACACAUGGACAAUGAGCAUAUCAGAUCUGUUAUGUCUAUCUUAUCGAACUGGAU